Molecule: ribosomal RNA, 254 nt
Filed under: uncultured bacterium
Lineage: Bacteria
Description: partial 16S ribosomal RNA
Rfam family: Bacterial small subunit ribosomal RNA
Source: RNAcentral
CACGUAGGGGGCGAGCGUUGUCCGGAUUUAUUGGGCGUAAAGAGCUCGUAGGCGGCUCGGUAAGUCGGGUGUGAAACCUCCAGGCUCAACCUGGAGACGCCACCUGAUACUGCUGUGGCUAGAGUCCGGUAGGAGAGUGUGGAACUCCUGGUGUAGCGGUGAAAUGCGCAGAUAUCAGGAAGAACACCAGCGGCGAAGGCGGCACUCUGGGCCGGAACUGACGCUGAGGAGCGAAAGCGUGGGUAGCAAACAGG